Long non-coding RNA from Sphaeramia orbicularis (orbiculate cardinalfish), 1213 nucleotides. RefSeq lists it as uncharacterized. The transcript has 2 exons. The record is from RefSeq and is a predicted model, not a curated record. Lineage: Eukaryota; Metazoa; Chordata; Actinopteri; Kurtiformes; Apogonidae.
UGUUACAGAGUGGUAAACAUCACACAUAAUGAAUAAUGACUCAGCAUUAAAAGAAGAUGUACUAACAGUAUAAAAUAUAAAGAGUAUAAAAUAUAAAAAGUAAAUUUUUCCACCACAGUACAAAGAACACUUUCUUUUUUAAUAGGAACCCAUUCAUCAGCUCUCUGCUGUGACUGCUGGAAGUUUGUUUUCUGGAAGAUUUCAGCCGCUUAGAAACGUAAUCUAUUUGUUUGUUAUUAUCCAGCUUUAUUACUUCACACCAGUAACCUGAAUUAACAAUAAUUUGGUAUGAAACCCAUUUUUCAGAUGAAAUUUCCAGUGGAAGAUAGGUGGAUUUGUCCUGUCAGUGUAGGCGCUCAUUGGAUUUUAGUGGUUAGUGGCUUUCUUAUAUUUUCUUCAAACCUAUUUCUGGCAUGUAUUGUGUAUAUAUGCAUUUCAGUUGACCUGAUGCAACAGAAGUCUAUUCUCAUAAAAGGGUUUGCUACAUACAUAUGUCAUAGUGUGAUGGAAUAACAUGAAUCUACUAAACAUUUAUAGAUUGUCAACAUGUCAGAAAGGACACUACUACUUGUCGAUCCACUGGGUAACGAAGACAAGUAUAAACACAAAAUCCUAUGAAACUGGAGGUAAUGACUUUUGAAAGUUUGAACUUUAAUAACAUAGGUCAAAUGUUUAGAUGAAAGUACAAAGUUUGAAGCUCUUGUUUUGAUUUUUUUUUUUUUUUAUUAUUAUGUAUUGGAGAUAGACAUUCAGCAUAUAAUAAGACUUACAUUGUACAAACACAAAAGACAACAAACUGAAAGUGUCACAUCAGAGCUCUUGGUCUUUCUUAUGUGAUGAGAAUGUGCCUCAUGUAUUGCAUAUGUUUGUUAUGCUAUUUAAACAAUAAUUAGGAACUUCUUGAGGAUGGCAGGCCGUGAUGUCCAUGGACAUAAAUGGAGUGUAAAAACUGUUAACCACAACCACCAGCAAUACAGCAGUAGCUGUGGGAUUUUGGUGUUAAAGUUUGCAGAGGACUUUCUUAGCCGUGGAGACAUCGAGACCACCCAGACCCAUCCUGCUGAUGUUUCAAAGGCUCGAUGGGAUGUAGCAUGUGCCCUCCUAGAGGGUGGAGGUCUAUAACAAAGAAAUCAACCAUCAUGAAGCCAUCCUCUCUCUCUGUCUCUCUAAAAAAAAUUGUAUUUAUCAAAUAAAGCUGUCUUUAUGUCCUCCU